Melospiza melodia melodia is the source of this 338-nucleotide long non-coding RNA. RefSeq lists it as uncharacterized. The record is from RefSeq and is a predicted model, not a curated record. NCBI's taxonomy places the organism in Eukaryota, Metazoa, Chordata, Aves, Passeriformes, Passerellidae. The transcript has 3 exons.
CAGACAGGAGAUCCAAGCCUUAAGGGUCCUCUCCCGAGCCGGGUCCGGGGCCGGGGUCUUCUGGGCGCCUCUGACGGCUUUUCGUCGGGAGAAGCUCCUUCCCUGGACCGGUGCUCUCGGAUGGACGCUGGCUGCAUCUCCUGCUCAAUUAAGAGGAAACAUCUAUAUACUGUCUAUGGUUGCGAUUGCAUGAACCUGGCAAACCGGUAUCUCACGGUCUGUAGGCAACCUCUCGUGACCAAACCUGGUAAAACAGUCUGUUCUGAUAUAGACCAUAAGAAUCUUUUAGGAAAACCCCUACAAGAAAAGUGGGAGGGACCUUUCCAAGUGCUGCUGAC